Small nuclear RNA from Hippopotamus amphibius kiboko, 128 nucleotides. The record is from RefSeq and is a predicted model, not a curated record. NCBI's taxonomy places the organism in Eukaryota, Metazoa, Chordata, Mammalia, Artiodactyla, Hippopotamidae.
GUGUUGCAUGAAAGGAGAGAAGGUUAGCACUCUCCUUGUCAAGGGUGGAAGAAACUCUCAGGCCUGACAACAUGCAUACAUGGUUAAGGCACUGUCAGCUACUUCGUGGCAUCUAACCAUCGUUUUUU